AACGAACGCUGGCGGCAUGCCUAACACAUGCAAGUCGAACGAGACCUUCUGGUUUAAUGGCGCACGGGUGCGUGACGCGUGAGAACCUGCCCUGAGGUUCGGAAUGACUCCCCGAAAAGGGUGCGGAUACCGGUGAAUAUCUUCGGACCAAAGAGUUAUCGCCAUUGGAUGGGCCCUCGUUGGAGUAGCUAGUUGGUAGGGUAGCAGCCUACCAAGGUGACGGUCCAUAGCUGGUCUGCGAGGAUGAUCAGCCAGAAUGGGACUGAGAGACCGUACCGACUACUACGGGCGGCAGUAGUGGGGAAUGUUGGACGGUGGGCAAACGGCUGAUCCAGCACUGCCGCGUGAGUGAAGAAGGCCUUAGGGUUGUAAAGCUCUUUUAGCCGAGAAGAUAAUGACAGUACCGGGAGAAUAAGCUACGGCUAAAUCCGUG
Molecule: ribosomal RNA, 433 nt
Filed under: uncultured bacterium
Lineage: Bacteria
Description: partial 16S ribosomal RNA
Rfam family: Bacterial small subunit ribosomal RNA
Source: RNAcentral